AUACCUUUCUCGGCCUUUUGGCUAAGAUCAWGUGUAGUAUCUGUUCUUAUCAGUUUAAUAUCUGAUACGUGGGCCAUCAGCCCACAUGAUAUUAAAUUAAUUUUUCUUUGGAGAAGGCCCACUUCAGUAGCUUGCAGAAAUCGAGUUCUAAAUCUGGAAAAAAAAAACACCAAAAAGUGUUCAUGUUUUGUAUUUGCUCCAGUUUCUUUUGU
This 212-nucleotide small nuclear RNA is filed under the name Nelumbo nucifera (sacred lotus). RNAcentral describes it as "U2 spliceosomal RNA". It matches the Rfam family "U2 spliceosomal RNA". From Rfam's summary of the family: U2 is a small nuclear RNA (snRNA) component of the spliceosome (involved in pre-mRNA splicing). Complementary binding between U2 snRNA (in an area lying towards the 5' end but 3' to hairpin I) and the branchpoint sequence (BPS) of the intron results the bulging out of an unpaired adenosine, on the BPS, which initiates a nucleophilic attack at the intronic 5' splice site, thus starting the first of two transesterification reactions that mediate splicing. The record is from Rfam by way of RNAcentral. Lineage: Eukaryota; Viridiplantae; Streptophyta; Magnoliopsida; Proteales; Nelumbonaceae.